ACGGGAGGCAGCAGUGGGGGAUAUUGCACAAUGGGGGAAACCCUGAUGCAGCAAUGCCGCGUGAGGGAAGACGGUCUUCGGAUUGUAAACCUAAGUAGUCAGGGACGAAACAAAUGACGUUACCUGAAGAGUAAGCUCCGGCUAACUACGUGCCAGCAGCCGCGGUAAUACGUAGGGAGCGAGCGUUGUCCGGAUUUACUGGGUGUAAAGGGUGCGUAGGCGGGUCUGCAAGUCAGGCGUGAAAUACCGGAGCUUAACUCCGGAGCUGCGCUUGAAACUGUGGAUCUUGAGUGAAGUAGAGGCAGGCGGAAUUCCCAGUGUAGCGGUGAAAUGCGUAGAUAUUGGGAGGAACACCAGUGGCGAAGGCGGCCUGCUGGGCUUUAACUGACGCUGAGGCACGAAAGUAUGGGGAGCAAACAGGAUUAGAUACCCUGGUA
RNAcentral lists this ribosomal RNA (437 nucleotides) under uncultured Oscillospiraceae bacterium. RNAcentral's name for it is "bacterial SSU rRNA". It matches the Rfam family "Bacterial small subunit ribosomal RNA", at positions 341 to 792 of the family's 1533-position model. The record is from RNAcentral. Lineage: Bacteria; Bacillati; Bacillota; Clostridia; Eubacteriales; Oscillospiraceae.